Non-coding RNA from Cinara cedri, 428 nucleotides. The record is from the annotation of a GenBank genome assembly. NCBI's taxonomy places the organism in Eukaryota, Metazoa, Arthropoda, Insecta, Hemiptera, Aphididae.
GUUGGCUCAUGCGAAUUCCCAGCAUUUUCAAAACAAACUAAACAGCAAAUAUAUUAUGAAAACUAACGCGGUUACAUUUCCGUAGCUAUAGCAAUGGAGUUGAGUUGAAUUUUCCUACGACAAUUACAUAUCGACGUUUCGUCAAAAGGGGAGAAAUUCGUUUAUCGAUUUUGGUCAAGUCCCGACGAAGGGAGAAAAACGGUUUGAUCUCUCAAGUUUUGGAGAAUAACUUUUUAAAAAAACUGGGCUCAUUGUUUCCCCCGUACAUUCUGACCGGCACCCGUUCUAAUUCCUUUCUCAUAAUCUCGUUUUCAACACGAAUAUUUGAUCGUUUAAAGUUUAAAUUGAAACUCCUCGAAUUCUAUGGUAUGUCUUUUUUUAUCCAUUCCUGUGAACACUGGGGGUAAAUUUAGGACAUUUAUAUAGGC